This 575-nucleotide ribosomal RNA is filed under the name Comamonadaceae bacterium. RNAcentral describes it as "bacterial SSU rRNA". It matches the Rfam family "Bacterial small subunit ribosomal RNA", at positions 66 to 633 of the family's 1533-position model. Lineage: Bacteria; Pseudomonadati; Pseudomonadota; Betaproteobacteria; Burkholderiales; Comamonadaceae. The record is from RNAcentral.
UCAGCCACUAGAGUAGACAAUCCUGAGUGGCGAGUGGCGAACGGGUGAGUAAUAUAUCGGAACGUGCCCAGUCGUGGGGGAUAACGCAGCGAAAGCUGUGCUAAUACCGCAUACGAUCUACGGAUGAAAGCGGGGGAUCGCAAGACCUCGCGCGAUUGGAGCGGCUGAUAUCAGAUUAGCUAGUUGGUGGGGUAAAGGCCUACCAAGGCGACGAUCUGUAGCUGGUCUGAGAGGACGACCAGCCACACUGGAACUGAGACACGGUCCAGACUCCUACGGGAGGCAGCAGUGGGGAAUUUUGGACAAUGGGCGCAAGCCUGAUCCAGCAAUGCCGCGUGCAGGAUGAAGGCCUUCGGGUUGUAAACUGCUUUUGUACGGAACGAAAAGGUCUUUCUUAAUACGAGAGAUUUAUGACGGUACCGUAAGAAUAAGCACCGGCUAACUACGUGCCAGCAGCCGCGGUAAUACGUAGGGUGCGAGCGUUAAUCGGAAUUACUGGGCGUAAAGCGUGCGCAGGCGGUUUUGUAAGACAGAUGUGAAAUCCCCGGGCUCAACCUGGGACCUGCAUUUGUGAC